AAAUGAAUUGACGGGGGCCCGCACAAGCGGUGGAGCAUGUGGUUUAAUUCGAUGCAACGCGAAGAACCUUACCUACCCUUGACAUCCUGGGGACCCUGUAGAGAUACGGGGGUGCCUUCGGGAACCCAGAGACAGGUGCUGCAUGGCUGUCGUCAGCUCGUGUCGUGAGAUGUUGGGUUAAGUCCCGUAACGAGCGCAACCCUUGUGCCUAGUUGCCAUCAUUUAGUUGGGGACUCUAGGCAGACUGCCGGUGACAAACCGGAGGAAGGUGGGGAUGACGUCAAGUCCUCAUGGCCCUUAUGGGUAGGGCUACACACGUGCUACAAUGGGCAGAACAAAGGGAAGCGAAGCCGAGAGGCGGAGCGGAUCUCAAAAAACUGUUCGUAGUCCGGAUUGGGGCCUGCAACUCGGCCCCAUGAAGUCGGAAUCGCUAGUAAUCGCGGAUCAGAAUGCCGCGGUGAAUACGUUCCCGGGCCUUGUACACACCGCCCGU
RNAcentral lists this ribosomal RNA (493 nucleotides) under uncultured bacterium. RNAcentral describes it as "bacterial SSU rRNA". It matches the Rfam family "Bacterial small subunit ribosomal RNA", at positions 903 to 1397 of the family's 1533-position model. The record is from RNAcentral.